CAGCAAGGAAAAAGGGGGAGCUAGAACAGCUGAAGAGAGUACAGAUGAUGAAUCUGUUCCAGAGUCCAAGGCAUGCAAUCCCUCAAAACUGAUGUCAUCUCAGGCAGCAAGAGCACUCGGAAAUUGAAGCAAUAGAAAGUGUGAACAGGCUUAGAUUUUCCGUGUCUUGGUCGGCAGGAGGAGGAACCACCAGAAACCUUGCUUAUCAGGCAAGCAAGAACCUUAUCAAGAACACCCGCAUCAUCGCUCCAUCCACCGCGAACUGGAUCUGCACAAUAGUCCCACAAAACAAAAUCAGUAUCGUCACCAACAUGCAGGAGCCCGGAAAAACAGAAUAAAAUCCUUCGACUGAAAUCAACCCAAUCCCCCAGCUGAGACGAGGGGCGGUUACCUUUGCGGCGCAGGCCUUCCAGCGGCUGAAUCGCCUCUUGCCGCCGCCCAAACAAGCAGCCUCGCCCCCGCAAGAACUUCAGACAGGCGGUUGGGGAAGCGGAGGAUCCAGAGCCAGAACCAGAACCAGUCUUUUCUUGAAGCCAGCCAAGAAGAGGGACGGGCUGGUGGAGCACAGGUGGAACGGAACUGGCGGAGAAGCGGACAACGGCACGCCGCCGCUUUAACUUUUGGGCGAAGCGGACAAAGGAAUGGCAAUCCAAAUGCUCGUCUGGAUGGGGAUUUUGGAAGGAGCGAUGGUGAUGGCGAUGGUGGCCCGGAGGUUGGCGAGAUUUUGAGCAGAGUCUUCUUGGGUCCGGGAGGAAGAAAGGGUC
RNAcentral lists this long non-coding RNA (764 nucleotides) under Triticum aestivum (bread wheat). RNAcentral's name for it is "long non-coding RNA (TAES_LNC015416)". The record is from RNAcentral. Lineage: Eukaryota; Viridiplantae; Streptophyta; Magnoliopsida; Poales; Poaceae.